RNAcentral lists this ribosomal RNA (465 nucleotides) under uncultured bacterium. RNAcentral's name for it is "partial 16S ribosomal RNA". It matches the Rfam family "Bacterial small subunit ribosomal RNA", at positions 338 to 795 of the family's 1533-position model. The record is from RNAcentral.
CCUACGGGAGGCUGCAGUGGGGAAUAUUGCGCAAUGGGCGAAAGCCUGACGCAGCGACGCCGCGUGAGGGAUGAAGGUCUUCGGAUCGUAAACCUCUGUCAGCAGGGAAGAACGGUCACUGUGCUAAUCAGCCGUGAAUUGACGGUACCUGCAAAGGAAGCACCGGCUAACUCCGUGCCAGCAGCCGCGGUAAUACGGAGGGUGCGAGCGUUAAUCGGAAUUACUGGGCGUAAAGCGCUCGUAGGCGGUAUGUCAAGUCAAGGGUGAAAUCCCCGCGCUCAACGUGGGAACUGCCUUUGAUACUGGCAAACUGGAGUGUGUGAGAGGAUAGUAGAAUUCCAGGUGUAGGAGUGAAAUCCGUAGAUAUCUGGAGGAACAUCAGGGGCGAAGGCGACUAUCUGGCACAUAACUGACGCUGAGGAGCGAAAGCGUGGGUAGCAAACAGGAUUAGAUACCCUGGUAGUC